This is a non-coding RNA of Brugia malayi, 95 nucleotides long. Lineage: Eukaryota; Metazoa; Nematoda; Chromadorea; Rhabditida; Onchocercidae. The record is from RefSeq and is a predicted model, not a curated record.
UAUUGUUACUGUUACUGCUAUUGUUGUUGUUUGUUGUUGUCGUUGUCCUUGUUGUUGUAACAAUAACAAUAGCAACAACAAUAGCAAUAAUAAUU